Molecule: ribosomal RNA, 528 nt
Filed under: Sticta sp. RL-2013u
Lineage: Eukaryota; Fungi; Ascomycota; Lecanoromycetes; Peltigerales; Lobariaceae
Also listed under: 1 other name
Description: eukaryotic LSU rRNA
Rfam family: Eukaryotic large subunit ribosomal RNA
Source: RNAcentral
CAGCUCAAAUUUGAAAUCUGGCCUCUUCGGGGUCCGAGUUGUAAUUUGUAGAGGGUGUUUCGGGCGCGAUGCCGGUCUAAGUUCCUUGGAACAGGACGUCGCAGAGGGUGAGAAUCCCGUACGCGACCGGCGAUCAAGCCUGUGUGAAGCCCCUUCGACGAGUCGAGUUGUUUGGGAAUGCAGCUCAAAAUGGGUGGUAAAUUUCAUCUAAAGCUAAAUAUUGGCCAGAGACCGAUAGCGGACAAGUAGAGUGAUCGAAAGAUGAAAAGCACUUUGGAAAGAGAGUCAAACAGUACGUGAAAUUGUUGAAAGGGAAGCGCUUGCAAUCAGACCGGUCCGGAGGCGAUCAGCCGCUGCUCGUUCAGCGGUGCACUCGCCUGCGAUCCGGCCAGCAUCGGUUUGGGCGGUGGGAUAAAAGUCCCGGGAAUGUAGCUUCUCUCGGGGAGUCUUAUAGCCCGGGUCGCAAUGCCGCCCGCCUGGACCGAGGACCGCGCUUCGGCUAGGAUGCUGGCGUAAUGGUUGCAAGCG